RNAcentral lists this ribosomal RNA (260 nucleotides) under Meloidogyne incognita (southern root-knot nematode). Its description in RNAcentral is "5.8S ribosomal RNA". The stretch from base 182 to 260 matches the Rfam family "5.8S ribosomal RNA", at positions 1 to 79 of the family's 154-position model. Lineage: Eukaryota; Metazoa; Nematoda; Chromadorea; Rhabditida; Meloidogynidae. The record is from RNAcentral.
AUGAUCGUUGUGAAACGGCUGUCGCUGGUGUCUAAGUGUUGCUGAUACGGUUGUGAACGUCCGUGGCUGUAUAUGUGGUGACAUGUUAGGACUCUAAUGAGUUUAAGACCUAAUGAGCCUCUUAAGUGAGGCCGCCAGCAACCUUUUUUUUCUCUACAUUUUAAAAAAAAAACUAAAAUUCUACCCUUAUCGGUGGAUCACUAGGCUCGUGGAUCGAUGAAGAACGCAGCAAACUGCGAUAAUUAUUGCGAACUGCAGAA